UAGUCCACGCCGUAAACGAUGAGAACUAGAUGUCGGGGGAUUUAGCCCUUCGGUAUCGCAGCUAACGCGUUAAGUUCUCCGCCUGGGGAGUACGGUGGCAACACUAAAACUCAAAGGAAUUGACGGGGACCUGCACAAGCGGUGGAGCAUGUGGUUUAAUUCGAUGCAACGCGAAGAACCUUACCUGCCCUUGACAUUGACAGAACCCUUUAGAGAUAGAGGGGUGCUUCGGCCUGGAAACAGGUGCUGCAUGGCUGUCGUCAGCUCGUGUCGUGAGAUGUUGGGUUAAGUCCCGCAACGAGCGCAACCCUUAUCCUUAGUUGCCAGCACGUAAUGGUGGGAACUCUAAGGAGACCGCCGGUGACAAACCGGNGGAAGGUAAGGAUGACGUCAAGUCAGCAUGCCCCUUAUGCUCUGGGCUACACACGUGCUACAAUGGCCGUGACAAAGAGUUGCUACUUUGUGAAAACAAGCUAAUCUCAUAAACGCGGCCUCAGUUCGGAUUGCAGGCUGAAA
RNAcentral lists this ribosomal RNA (516 nucleotides) under uncultured bacterium. RNAcentral's name for it is "bacterial SSU rRNA". It matches the Rfam family "Bacterial small subunit ribosomal RNA", at positions 791 to 1310 of the family's 1533-position model. The record is from RNAcentral.